This 92-nucleotide transfer RNA is filed under the name Sphaerobolus stellatus SS14. It matches the Rfam family "tRNA". From Rfam's summary of the family: Transfer RNA (tRNA) molecules are approximately 80 nucleotides in length. Lineage: Eukaryota; Fungi; Basidiomycota; Agaricomycetes; Geastrales; Sphaerobolaceae. The record is from Rfam by way of RNAcentral.
UCUCAGGUAGUAUAGUGGUUAGUAUUCGCGCCUGUCAUGUCACGUGACCGGUCUGAACGCGCGAGACCGGGGUUCAAUUCCCCGCCUGAGAG